UUUUUCUUGCUUUUUCUUAAAUCUUUUUGUUUGCACUUUUUUUUAUUUCUUCUUUAUAAUUUUAAAACCUCAAACUUCUUUUUUUGUGCACAUUCUUUUAUUUUUAUUUUUAUUUUUAUUUUUCAUCUUUCAUAUUUUAUAUCUUUUUCCUUUAUUUGUUGUAUAUAUUUUUUGUUUUUCUUUGUACGUUCUAAACUAAAAGUUUUUUUUUCCAUUUGUUUUGAUUUUUAUUCAUUUUGUCUUUUUAUAUUUUUGAUUCGUAAAUUUUUUAUUUUCUUGCUUGUUACUUUUUGUUUUGUUUAUUUUUAUUUUUUCCUUUUUUGGUAUUUUAUUUAAUUUUUCUUUUAUAUUAAUAUUUUCUCUUAAUUUAUUUUUUCAUUUUUUUUAUUUAUAAUUUAAAAAAUUUUAUAAAGUUUAAAAUUUUUUAUUUUUUCAUUUUCUUAUUUUUUGUCUAUUUUUUUUGCUACUUUUUGUUCUAUUUUAUAAAUUUUCAAUAACUUUUUCCCUUCAAAAUUUUCUUUCUUUUUGCCUUUUUUUCAUAUGCUUUCAUUUUUAUUUGUUUUAAUUCUUUCAAUGUUUUAAAAUUAUUUAUAUUUCUUUACGCUUUUUCCAUUUUUUUUUCACAAAUUUCCCUUCACUUCUUAUUUCGUUUUUUAAAUUCUCAUAAUUUUUUUUUUUUGCAUUUUCUCCUUUGGUUUCAUUUUUACUUUGAAUUAACUUUUCUCUUUUUUAAUUUUUUGCCUUUGACUUUUUAUAUUAUUUUCUCAUUAUGUCUUAUAUGUUUUUCAAUUUUUUGUAUUUUUUGAACUAUUUUUUUUUCAUUUUGUCAUUCCAUUUCAUUUUUGAAGUUUUUAUUCAAUUUUUGUCUUUUUAUUUUCUUACUUUUUAUAUUUUUAUUUUUAUUUUUUUUAUUUUAUCAUUGUUGGUUCUUUUCUAUUGCAUUUUUAUAAUUUUUCUUCAACUUUUUCUCCUUUCAAAUUUUUCUUCUUUUUUUUACUUAUUUUUUCAUGUGCUUUCAUAUUUUUUUGUUUUCACUUUUUUCUUUGUUUCAAAAUAUUCUAUAAACUUUUUUCUUUUUGUUUUAUCUCAUAAUUUUGACUCUUCAUUUUUUUAUUUUUUUCUUGUUUUAACUUUUUUUUGCCCUUCCUUGUCUUAUUUUAUUUUGUAUUAAAUUUUUCCCUUCGUUAAUUUUUUUUGAUUAUAUUUUUUUAAUUACUUUUUUCUAUGUUAUGUAAAUUAAAAUAUAAUUUGUAAUCCAUUUCAUUUUUAAUAAAUUUUCAAUCUUGAUUUUUAGCAAAUUAUUUCUAUUGUUUGUUUAUUUUUAAAGAAUACUUUUUUAUAUUUAUAAUAUACUAAUUUUUCAAUUUUUAUAUGGCUAAAAUUUUUUUUGACCAUAUCCUUAAUUUUAAUCAAAAAAAGUUUUUUCAUUUUUUAAUCUUUUUCUUUUUGCUUUAAUAUUUUCUCUUAUUUUAUUUUUCCUCUUACUUUGUUUUUUAUAAAUAAAUUUAUAAAUGUUAUAGAUAUUAAAACAUUGCUCAAUGAGACUUUGACUUUAUUAGAAAUGGAAGGUGUUAUGUGCAUGUAUGCUAAUUAAGAUAUCUAGUUAAGAUCAUCUGUAAUUUAUCUUGAAAUUUGUUUUUAUUUAUCGUGUAAUUUUAUCUAAUUAACAAAAUUCUCUUGUAUAAUAUUUUAUCUUUCAUUUGUUAUUAAUUUUUUUUUUCUAAUUUUUUUCUUUUGACUCAUUAUUUUUUCAUUUCCUUACUUUUUUUAUUUUUUCUAUUUUGUGCUUUUGUUUAUUUUAUUUUUUUUCUCUUUUUAGUACUUAUUUUUUUUCCUUUCUCCUUUAAAUUUUCUCUUAUUUUAUUUUCCUUUUAUUUUUUUCUUUUUUUUUAUAAAAAUUUUAUAAUGUUAUAGAUAUUAAAACAUUGUUGAAUGAGACUUUGGCUUCAUUAGAAAUGGAAGGAGUUAUGUGCAUGUAUACUAAUUAGAUAUCUAAUUAAGAUCAUCUUGUAUUUUAUCUUGAAAUUUGUUUUUAUUUGUCGUGUAAUUUAUCUAAUUAACAAAAUUAUCUUGUAUAAUAUUUUAUCUUUUAUUUAAUUCAAUUUGGAUUAUUUUUUUACUACUUAUUAUUUUAUUUAUUAUUUUGGAUUGUGUAAUAUUUAUCUUUUAUUUAAUACAAUUUGUUAAGAGAUAAUAAUUAUCUUUGUUAUUUCUUUUGGAAUUUUAUUGGCUUAUAUAUAAUAACACUAGUUUGGAAUUGUUAUAUCUAUCACUAUUUACUUCAUGUAUCCAAAUUUUUACAUUUUUAACGAUUUAAAAAUUAAAAGUUCUAAAUUUAAAUCAAUAAAUUCAAAUCAAAAUAUUUUGCAUCUAAACUUUCGAAUUCAAAUUAAGUUUUAAACAUAAAUUAAAGAUUGAACUUUUGUAGAAUUUUUUUUAUUUCUUUAUUUACUUCCUUUUUCUUUUCCUUUUUUUUGACUUUUUUUGUUUUUUUUUUUACUUUUUAUGCAUUUUCUUAAUUUUUCAUUCCUUUUUUUUUUCUUUUUACAUAAUACUUUCUUUCUUGUUUUCUUUCUAUUACUUAUUUUCCUUUUACUUUGAUUUUCUUUUUUGUUACUUCAAUCUAAUUGGUCAUUUACAUUAUUUUCUAUUAAUGUUUUUCUUUUUGCACUCUCUUUACUUUCUAUCUUUGUUUUUCUCAUUUUUUAUUUUUUCUUAACGUUUUUCUUCUUUUUUUGGGGUUUUCUUGGCUUUUUUUUCUCAUUUGUGAUUUUUGUUCCACACUUCCUUCUUUUGUUUUUAUUUUUUCUUUUUGUAUUAACUUUUCCCUUCUUUUAAUUUUUUCUUUUUGAUUUUUUAAAUCUUUUUUUCUCAUUAUUUGUUAUUUUUUUAUAUUUUAUAAACUAAACUUUUCUCUAUUUUGUCAUUUUUUCCAUUUUUAAUAUUUUCUAUUUUUUUAAUUUUUUCUUUUGACUCGUUAUUUUUUCAUUUCCUUACUUUUUUUUGUUUUUUUUUUUGUUUUUAGUACUUAUUUUAUCAUUUUCCUUUUAUUUUUUAUUUUUAACUUUUGUUAUUUUUAUAAAACUUUUGUAAUGUUAUGGAUUUUUACUUCAUUUUUUAAUCUAUUGUUCUUUUGGUUUUUCUCAUUUUUUUCAUUUUUUAUUUUUUGCUAUUUUUAUUCUAUUUUUAUAAUUUUUCAUUAAUCCUUUUUUUUUCUUUUUCUUUUAACUUAUUUGUUGAUUUACUUUCUUUUUUUUUUUCUUUCUAUUAAAAUUCUCUAUUUUUUUCUUGCUUUUUCUUAUAUCUUUUUGUUCACACUUUUUUUAUUUCUUCUUUACAAUUUUAAAACCUCAAACUUCUUUUUUUGUGCACUUCCUUUUGUUUUUAUUUAUAUUUUUUAUUAACUUUUAUUUUAUUUUUUUCUUUAAACUAAAAGUUUUUUCUAUUUUAUAUUUCAAAUUUUUAUUCAUUUUGUCUUUUUAUAUUUUUUUU
RNAcentral lists this long non-coding RNA (3492 nucleotides) under Durio zibethinus. RNAcentral's name for it is "long non-coding RNA (DZIB_LNC002052)". The record is from RNAcentral. Lineage: Eukaryota; Viridiplantae; Streptophyta; Magnoliopsida; Malvales; Malvaceae.